GAUGAAGAACGUAGCGAAAUGCGAUAAGUAAUGUGAAUUGCAGAAUUCAGUGAAUCAUCGAAUCUUUGAACGCACAUUGCGCCCGCCAGUAUUCUGGCGGGCAUGCCUGUUCGAUCGUCAUUUCAACCAUCAAGCCCCCGGCUUGUGUUGGGGACCUGCGGCUGCCGCAGGCCCUGAAAACCAGUGGCGGGCUCGCUGUCACACCGAGCGUAGUAGAUUUUCAUCUCGCUCAGGGCGUGCUGCGGGUUCCGGCCGUAAAAAGCCUUAUUUACCCAAGGUUGACCUCGGAUCAGGUAGGAAGACCCGCUGAACUUAAGCAUAUCAAUAAGCGGAGGA
This 336-nucleotide unclassified non-coding RNA is filed under the name soil metagenome. RNAcentral describes it as "partial contains 5.8S ribosomal RNA, internal transcribed spacer 2, and large subunit ribosomal RNA". The stretch from base 1 to 120 matches the Rfam family "5.8S ribosomal RNA", at positions 35 to 154 of the family's 154-position model. The record is from RNAcentral.